Long non-coding RNA from Lemur catta (Ring-tailed lemur), 540 nucleotides. RefSeq lists it as uncharacterized. NCBI's taxonomy places the organism in Eukaryota, Metazoa, Chordata, Mammalia, Primates, Lemuridae. The record is from RefSeq and is a predicted model, not a curated record. The transcript has 3 exons.
CGGACGGGCUGGUAUUUUGAGCUUUUGCACAGCGUUGGCGCGGGAGGACCAGGUGUAAGCGUUUAGCCCCUGCCGGCCCCCAUCUCCGGAGCCUCAGCAGGAUCUGUUUAAUCUUAAAGCGCGGGAUAGGAAUUACUCAUCUGUAGUUUGCCCCGCAGGACGGAGAUGAAAGAAAUCUCUUCACUGGCACCUCACACAAGAUAAGCAAGUCUAGUCCGUCUGAUGCUGUGAAAUCCAUCCAAGUUGCUGCAUGUAUCAAUAGCGUGCUUCUGCUAAUUGCUAUACAGUAGUAUUGUGUUAUAUGGAUACAUCAUUGUUUAUUCUUUUAUCUGUUAAAGGACAUUUGGGUUAUUUCCUGGUUUUAGCUAUUGCAAGUAAAGUUACUGUGAAUGUUUGUGUACAGGUUAUUAUGUCAACAUAAGUUCUCAUAUCUCUAGGAUAAAUGGCCAAGUGUGCAAUUGCUAGGUUAUAUGGUAAGUGUAUUUUUAACUUUAUAAUAAACUGCCAAACUAUUUUCCAGAAUAAUGGUGCCGUUGUAUA